AGUGAACGCUGGCGGUAGGCCUAACACAUGCAAGUCGAACGGCAGCACAGUAAGAGCUUGCUCUUACGGGUGGCGAGUGGCGGACGGGUGAGGAAUACAUCGGAAUCUACUUUUUCGUGGGGGAUAACGUAGGGAAACUUACGCUAAUACCGCAUACGACCUACGGGUGAAAGCAGGGGAUCUUCGGACCUUGCGCGAUUGAAUGAGCCGAUGUCGGAUUAGCUAGUUGGGGGGGUAAAGGCCCACCAAGGCGACGAUCCGUAGCUGGUCUGAGAGGAUGAUCAGCCACACUGGAACUGAGACAAGGUCCAGACUCCUACGGGAGGCAGCAGUGGGGAAUAUUGGACAAUGGGCGCAAGCCUGAUCCAGCCAUACCGCGUGGGUGAAGAAGGCCUUCGGGUUGUAAAGCCCUUUUGUUGGGAAAGAAAAGCAGCAGGUUAAUACCCCGCUGUUCUGACGGUACCCAAAGAAUAAGCACCGGCUAACUUCGUG
Molecule: ribosomal RNA, 492 nt
Filed under: uncultured bacterium
Lineage: Bacteria
Description: partial 16S ribosomal RNA
Rfam family: Bacterial small subunit ribosomal RNA
Source: RNAcentral